AACGUAGGAGACAAACGUUAUCCGGAGUUACUGGGCGUAAAGGGCGUGUAGGCGGUUCGUUAAGUCUGGCGUGAAAGCUCUCGGCUAAACCGGGAGAGGUCGUUGGAUACUGGCAAACUAGAGGACGGUAGAGGCGUGUGGAAUUCCGGGUGUAGUGGUGAAAUGCGUAGAGAUCCGGAGGAACACCAGUGGCGAAGGCGACACGCUGGGCCGUACCUGACGCUAAAGCGCGACAGCAUGGGGAGCGAACGGG
Molecule: ribosomal RNA, 253 nt
Filed under: uncultured bacterium
Lineage: Bacteria
Description: partial 16S ribosomal RNA
Rfam family: Bacterial small subunit ribosomal RNA
Source: RNAcentral